This 557-nucleotide ribosomal RNA is filed under the name Scarus spinus (greensnout parrotfish). RNAcentral describes it as "partial 16S ribosomal RNA". It matches the Rfam family "Bacterial large subunit ribosomal RNA", at positions 1844 to 2597 of the family's 2925-position model. The record is from RNAcentral. Lineage: Eukaryota; Metazoa; Chordata; Actinopteri; Labriformes; Labridae.
AAUAAGAGGUCCCGCCUGCCCUGUGACUAUAUGUUUAACGGCCGCGGUAUUUUGACCGUGCGAAGGUAGCGCAAUCACUUGUCUUUUAAAUGGAGACCUGUAUGAAUGGCACGACGAGGGCUUAACUGUCUCCUUUCCUAAGUCAAUGAAAUUGAUCUCUCCGUGCAGAAGCGGGGAUAAACCCAUAAGACGAGAAGACCCUAUGGAGCUUCAGACACUAAAGCAGCCCAUGUUAAAAACCCUCACACAAGAGACCAAACUAGAUGGCCCCUGCCCUAAUGUCUUUGGUUGGGGCGACCACGGGGUAACAAAAAACCCCCGCGCGGAACAGAAAUACUAUUUCCAGAACCAAGAGCGCCCGCUCUAAGUAACAAGACCCACUUGACCCUUGAGAUCCGGCACAAGCCGAUCAACGGACCGAGUUACCCUAGGGAUAACAGCGCAAUCUUCUUCGAGAGUUCAUAUCGACGAGAAGGUUUACGACCUCGAUGUUGGAUCAGGACAUCCUAAUGGUGCAGCCGCUAUUAAGGGUUCGUUUGUUCAACGAUUAAAGUCCU